This 432-nucleotide ribosomal RNA is filed under the name uncultured bacterium. RNAcentral describes it as "partial 16S ribosomal RNA". It matches the Rfam family "Bacterial small subunit ribosomal RNA", at positions 29 to 507 of the family's 1533-position model. The record is from RNAcentral.
ACGAACGCUGGCGGCAGGCCUAACCCAUGCAAGUCGAGCGAGACCUUCGGGUCUAGCGGCGGACGGGUGAGUAACGCGUGGGAACGUGCCCUUUUCUACGGAAUAGCCUCGGGAAACUGAGCGUAAUACCGUAUACGCCCUUUGGGGGAAAGAUUUAUCGGAGAAGGAUCGGCCCGCGUUGGAUUAGGUAGUUGGUGGGGUAAUGGCCUACCAAGCCUACGAUCCAUAGCUGGUUUGAGAGGAUGAUCAGCCACACUGGGACUGAGACACGGCCCAGACUCGUACGGGAGGCAGCAGUGGGGAAUCUUAGACAAUGGGGGCAACCCUGAUCUAGCCAUGCCGCGUGAGUGAUGAAGGCCUUAGGGUUGUAAAGCUCUUUCAGCUGGGAAGAUAAUGACGGUACCAGCAGAAGAAGCCCCGGCUAACUCCGUG